GAGAGGUCCACGCUGGGUCCCUCCGACUCAGGGCUGGGAGCAGCUUCCUCAUCUGCAAAGGGAGCAUAAUCAUAGUGUCUAUCCUCCAAGGCUGCUGAGAGGAUGAAAUGAAGGCGGCGGGGGCUGGGUGCAGGAGCCCCCCAGGCAGGGCCCAGAUGUCUCCACUCGCCCUGGCUGUGGGGCCUGAGGCUGAGGGUAGCUGCUCCUAACCAGAACCUUGGAAGGGAACAGAACUAGGGGCCUCAGCCCAAUGCAUCAAAACCGACCAUGUGGGACUCUCAAGGUGCCAUUUAUAUUUAUUUUUUAAAAGGCACUUUCCUCAAGAAUCUUUGCAUUUCUUGCCAAAUGGAUGGGCUGGGUUAUUUCAGCAGCCCAUCUAGAACCAGGGGCUUCCCCGACUGAGGACCUGAGCCAGAACAAAGAAAAGGCCAAGGACUGUAUUUGGAGCCAUAAAAGCCCCAUUAGGACACUAAGAAUAACUUGCAGAAAGGCAUUUUAUAUGAAUUGGACACAAAUUCACAAAAGCGAGGAAGUUCAUUGGUCUCUACCCCGAGGGUCCGCGACUGGGGAAAGGGGUUGGGUGUGAUGCGGGGAGCAGCGCCCAUCCCAUUUGAUCUUUAUCUUAAAUCCACUUCAAAACGCUAGGGAUCUGCGGAGUUGGAGGUUUGCCCCUUCCUGUAAUGAUUUGGUGUCUAGUAAAGUUUUUAUGAGUGUCUG
This 717-nucleotide long non-coding RNA is filed under the name Equus asinus (donkey). RNAcentral describes it as "lncRNA (ENSEASG00005036371.1)". Lineage: Eukaryota; Metazoa; Chordata; Mammalia; Perissodactyla; Equidae. The record is from RNAcentral.